GUCUUUUUGAUUUUAUAAAAAGUCAGGCCUGCUCAAUGAAUUUUAAAUAGCUGCGGUAUAUUGACCGUACAAAGGUAGCAUAAUCAAUAGUUUUUUAAUUGAAAACUGGAAUGAAGGGUUUAAUAAGAAAAUAACUGUCUCAUUUUAAUUUGUUUAUAAUUUUAUUUUUAAGUUCAAAAGCUUAAAUAUUUUUAAAAGACGAGAAGACCCUAUAGAGUUUAAUUAUUUUUUAUUUAUUUUUUUUUAGAAUUUAAAUAGUGUAAAUAUAGAAUAAUUUAAUUGGGGUGAUUAAAAAAUUAAAUAAACUUUUUUUUAUUUUUUUCAAAUUUUAUUGUUUAAUUGAUCCAUAAAUAUGAUUAUAAGAUUAAAUUACCUUAGGGAUAACAGCGUAAUUUUUUUUGAGAGUUCUAAUCGAAAAAAGAGAUUGCGACCUCGAUGUUGGAUUAAAAUUUAUAUUUGGUGAAGAAGCUGAAUUAUUAAGUCUGUUCGACUUUUGAAAUUUUACA
Molecule: ribosomal RNA, 506 nt
Filed under: Clypastraea sp. CO946
Lineage: Eukaryota; Metazoa; Arthropoda; Insecta; Coleoptera; Corylophidae
Description: partial 16S ribosomal RNA
Rfam family: Archaeal large subunit ribosomal RNA (bases 380-506)
Source: RNAcentral